CAUUUGGAAACAGGUGCUAAUACCGGAUAAUAAAGCAGAUCGCAUGAUCAGCUUUUGAAAGGCGGCGUAAGCUGUCGCUAAGGGAUGGCCCCGCGGUGCAUUAGCUAGCUGGUAAGGUAACGGCUUACCAAGGCGACGAUGCAUAGCCGAGUUGAGAGACUGAUCGGCCACAUUGGGACUGAGACACGGCCCAAACUCCUACGGGAGGCAGCAGUAGGGAAUCUUCCACAAUGGACGCAAGUCUGAUGGAGCAACGCCGCGUGAGUGAAGAAGGUUUUCGGAUCGUAAAGCUCUGUUGUUGGUGAAGAAGGAUAGAGGUAGUAACUGGCCUUUAUUUGACGGUAAUCAACCAGAAAGUCACGGCUAACUACGUGCCAGCAGCCGCGGUAAUACGUAGGUGGCAAGCGUUGUCCGGAUUUAUUGGGCGUAAAGCGAGCGCAGGCGGAAAAAUAAGUCUAAUGUGAAAGCCCUCGGCUUAACCGAGGAACUGCAUCGGAAACUGUUUUUCUUGAGUGCAGAAGAGGAGAGUGGAACUCCAUGUGUAGCGGUGGAAUGCGUAGAUAUAUGGAAGAACACCAGUGGCGAAGGCGGCUCUCUGGUCUGCAACUGACGCUGAGGCUCGAAAGCAUGGGUAGCGAACAGGAUUAGAUACCCUGGUAGUCCAUGCCGUAAACGAUGAGUGCUAAGUGUUGGGA
RNAcentral lists this ribosomal RNA (695 nucleotides) under uncultured bacterium. RNAcentral describes it as "bacterial SSU rRNA". It matches the Rfam family "Bacterial small subunit ribosomal RNA", at positions 147 to 828 of the family's 1533-position model. The record is from RNAcentral.